ACAGUGUGGGAGGGCAUAGUCCACUGUGGUGGGAGGGCCUGUUGGAGGACUAGAAGGCUUUGUGCUCCAUUCAGGAAACAGGAAGAAAUAAGAAAUAAAUUCUGGAACUCAGCUGGGCCUUUCCUUUCCCUCUUUCAUCCAGCCACCUCUUAGGAAUGAGCCACCACCAUCGGGAUUCCACAGCUCUCGUCUUGGUGGGAGAGUAUAAUGGUGAGAGAGGGUCAUGAAUCCAAGGACUGGCGUAAGAACAUCAUGGGAAGGCAGAGGAAGAAAUGAGUCCAGUAGCUACACAGCCAAGAGCCACAAGGAUUCCAGCAAUCACCAGAGUCAGGGAGAGUCAAGGAAGAAAACAUCAAAGCCUCAAAAGCGAGCUCCACCCUUCUGCAACCUUGAUGGAUGAGCUGGGAUAUCGAGCAAAAGAGUAGGAGGUAAUUCCAAGAUUUUCAGCCUCUUAAGAGAACCUCGCUGAGCAAUCACACAAGAAGCCAUCUGACUAGGAUAUUUGGAUAGCAGGUGUCUGCCCAUCCCCAUGUGCCCUGGAGAAGAGCAGAGCAGGAAAUUUAUAUGAGCAUAGGGAGGGCCAUGAGCAGCAGAGAAUGAGGUGACUCAGUUGUCUUCAUUGGACACUGAUUAUGGGGAACAGGGAGGAGGGCAGUAUAGAGUGGUCCUCCACUGUCCAGACUACUACUUGGUUCUUUAAUAAAUUUCUUUUUAAAAAGCA
Long non-coding RNA from Peromyscus leucopus (white-footed mouse), 721 nucleotides. RefSeq lists it as uncharacterized. The record is from RefSeq and is a predicted model, not a curated record. NCBI's taxonomy places the organism in Eukaryota, Metazoa, Chordata, Mammalia, Rodentia, Cricetidae. The transcript is spliced from 3 exons.